This 981-nucleotide long non-coding RNA is filed under the name Capra hircus (goat). RNAcentral's name for it is "lncRNA (ENSCHIG00010018937.1)". Lineage: Eukaryota; Metazoa; Chordata; Mammalia; Artiodactyla; Bovidae. The record is from RNAcentral.
AUGAUGGAUACGUCAAUGGAUUUCACAACUGAAGACCAAGUUUAUUGGUCAGGCAAUAGGGAAGAGGCUUCAAGAGACUCUUACCUUGAAACAAUAGAAGAGCUUGAGGAAUUUUUACAGAAACUCGAUGAGAUAUAUGGGACAAGAAGUCCAGCUGCACCUGAGCCAAAACCCUGUGUACCUCCGACUGCCCAUGAAGAGGACAGCCAAAAGGAAUCCAUGCAGAAUGAGGAUCCUACAACUGAAGAUCUAGUUCAGGAAGCCAAUGAGACACAUAAGGCAAGGACCCCAGCUGCCCCAGAGCCUCUGACUGCCCGUGAGGAAGAUGACCAAAAGGAGUCCAUGCAGAGACAGAAACCCACAACUGAAGAUCUAGUUCAGUUAUCAGGCACCAGCAAAGAGGCUUCCACAACUUCUUUCUUUGUGACACUUGAGGACAUUGAGGAGUUUCUUCACGAGAUCAAUGAAAUACACGAGGCAAAAACCCCACCUGCACCAGAGUCGGAGCUCUGCGUACCUCUGACUGCCCAUGAUGACGUCAGCCAAAUGGAGUCCGUGAACAGCCAGGUGACCUCCUUUGAUGAGAGAAACCCAACAGGAACAUCCCAGUUAAUGGAUGUCACUGACACCCCAACGACAUUUAUCACUGUUUGUCAAGUAACAGUUGUUAAUGCAAACAAGAGGACAAUCUUCAAUGAGGGUAGCGAGGUAGGGACCCUCAGUGAUGACCAGAGCCUCUGUGGAGGCCAGAUGACCAUCAGUGGGGAUCAGGCCCUCUAUGGGGCUCAGAUGAAGAGCCCCACUGUAUGCCAGAAUCUCAGUGGAACCCAGAUGACCUUCGCUGCAGACAAGACCAUCUGUGGGAAUCAGAUGGAGACCAUGGAUGAACACCAGACCCUCAGUGUAGGACAGAUGAACUUCAGUGGGGACCAGACUCUCUAUGGGGGUCAGAUGAAGACAGUCAAUGAUGACACUCUCCAU